AACUUUCAGCAACGGAUCUCUUGGCUCUCGCAUCGAUGAAGAACGCAGCGAAAUGCGAUAAGUAAUGUGAAUUGCAGAUUGUCAGUGAAUCAUCGAAACUUUGAACGCACCUUGCGCUCCUUGGUAUUCCGAGGUGCAUGCCUGUUUGAGUGUCAUUAAAUUCUCAACUUCACCGAUUAGAUUCGAGUGGAAGCUUGGAGUUUGGAGCGUGCUGGCCCUUCCCGGGGUCGGCUCCUCUUUAAAUGCAGCAGCGGAGUCAUCUUUGACCUUGCGGCAUUGGCGUGAUAGUCGUUGUUGCGCCGUUGGCCCAAGGUCUCGGUCCGCUUACAAAAUGGUCUAGGGAUGACUUGGACAAUGAAAUGUUUGUUUGACCUCAAAUCAGGUAGGACUACCCGCUGAACUUAAGCAUAUCAAUAAGCGGAGGCU
This 426-nucleotide unclassified non-coding RNA is filed under the name uncultured Byssocorticium. RNAcentral's name for it is "sequence contains ITS2". The stretch from base 1 to 155 matches the Rfam family "5.8S ribosomal RNA". Lineage: Eukaryota; Fungi; Basidiomycota; Agaricomycetes; Atheliales; Atheliaceae. The record is from RNAcentral.